GAAGAGAAGAGUUUGAUCCUGGCUCAGAUUGAACGCUGGCGGCACGCCUAACACAUGCAAGUCGAACGGCAGCACGGGGUAGAUUUAUCUAUCUGGGUGGCGAGUGGCGGACGGGUGAGUAACGCGUAGGAAUAUGCCUUUAAGACUGGGAUAGCCUUGGGAAACUGAGGGUAAUACCGGAUGAGCUCUGAGCCGAAGAGAUUUGGGUCAAAGGAAAGCUGGGGACUUUAGGGCCUGGCGCUUAAAGAAUAGCCUGCGUCCGAU
Molecule: non-coding RNA, 264 nt
Organism: Legionellales bacterium
Lineage: Bacteria; Pseudomonadati; Pseudomonadota; Gammaproteobacteria; Legionellales
Source: Rfam